AGACGGGGGGGGCGAGCGUUGUUCGGAAUUACUGGGCGUAAAGGGCGCGCAGGCGGCUUGGGAAGUCUUGGGUGAAAGCCCCCAGCUCAACUGGGGAACGGCCUGAGAAACCACUAGGCUGGAGUGCUGGAGAGGGAAGCGGAAUUCCCGGUGGAGCGGUGAAAUGCGUAGAUAUCGGGAGGAACACCAGAGGCGAAGGCGGCUUCCUGGACAGACACUGACGCUGAGGCGCGAAAGCUAGGGGAGCAAACGGGAUUAGAAACCCGAGUAGUCC
RNAcentral lists this ribosomal RNA (274 nucleotides) under uncultured bacterium. RNAcentral describes it as "partial 16S ribosomal RNA". It matches the Rfam family "Bacterial small subunit ribosomal RNA", at positions 523 to 796 of the family's 1533-position model. The record is from RNAcentral.